GAUGAACGCUGGCGGCGUGCCUAAUACAUGCCAGUCGAGCGAACAGAUGAUGAUCUUGCGCCUCGCACGUUAGCGGCGCACGUGUGAGUAACACGUGUAUAACCUACCUAUAAGACGGGGAUAACUUCGGGACACCGGCUAUAAUAGGGUAGAAUAUAUUGAAGCACAGUGUGGGAUGGAGAGAUACGGCGUUUCGGGCUGUUAUAGCUGGAUCCGGGCGGCUUGAGAUAGUUGGUAGGGUAACGGCUUAUUAAGGGAACGAGGCGUAGACGACCUGAGAGGGUGAUCGGCCACACGGGAGGUGAGACACGGUCCAGGCUCCUACGGGAGGCAGCAGUAGGGAAUCGUCGGCAAUGGGCGAGAGUCUGACGGAGCGACGGCGAGCGAGUGAUGGAGGCGUCGGGUGCGUAAAACUCUGUUAUUAGGGAAGAACAACUGUGUAAGUAAAUAUGGCCGUAUUGACGGUAACGAAUAAGAAAGCCACGGCUAACUACGUG
Molecule: ribosomal RNA, 497 nt
Filed under: uncultured bacterium
Lineage: Bacteria
Description: partial 16S ribosomal RNA
Rfam family: Bacterial small subunit ribosomal RNA
Source: RNAcentral